Molecule: ribosomal RNA, 258 nt
Filed under: uncultured Glomus
Lineage: Eukaryota; Fungi; Glomeromycota; Glomeromycetes; Glomerales; Glomeraceae
Description: partial 18S ribosomal RNA
Rfam family: Eukaryotic small subunit ribosomal RNA
Source: RNAcentral
AAGCUCGUAGUUGAAUUUCGGGGUUAGUAGGUUGGUCAUGCCUCUGGUAUGUACUGGUCUCACUGAUUCCUCCUUCCUCAUGAACCGUAAUGCCAUUAAUUUGGUGUUGCGGGGAAUUUGGACUGUUACUUUGAAAAAAUUAGAGUGUUUAAAGCAAGCUAACGCUUGAAUACAUUAGCAUGGAAUAAUGAAAUAGGACGUUCGAUCUUAUUUUGUUGGUUUCUAGGAUUGACGUAAUGAUUAAUAGGGAUAGUUGGG